AGAGUUUGAUCCUGGCUCAGGAUGAACGCUGGCGGCGUGCUUAAUACAUGCAAGUCGAACGGAGAUAGUAGCAAUAUUAUCUUAGUGGCGAACGGGUGAGUAACGCGUUGGUGACCUGCCCCGAAGAGAGGGAUAGCAGUUCGAAAGGACUGAUAAUACCUCAUGUGGUUGUUGGUUUUAGAAUCUGACAACUAAACGGAUUUAUUCGCUUCGGGAGGGGCCUGCGUCCCAUCAGCUAGUUGGUAGGGUAAUGGCCUACCAAGGCGAUGACGGGUAGGGGACCUGAGAGGGUGGCCCCCCACAAUGGAACUGAAACACGGUCCAUACACCUACGGGUGGCAGCAGUAGGGAAUAUUGGUAAUCUGGGAAACCGGGAACCAGCAACGCCGCGUGCGCGAUGAAGGCCUUCGGGUUGUAAAGCGCUUUUAGAAGGGAUGAGGAAGGACAGUACCUUCUGAAUAAGCCUCGGCUAACUACGUGCCAGCAGCCGCGGUAAAACGUAGGAGGCGAGCGUUAUCCGGAUUUACUGGGCGUAAAGCGCGUGUAGGCGGUCUUGUAAGUUGGAUGUGAAAGCUCCUGGCUUAACUGGGAGAGGUCGUUCAAAACUGCAAGACUUGAGAGUGGUAGAGGGAGGUGGAAUUCCGGGUGUAGUGGUGAAAUGCGUAGAUAUCCGGAGGAACACCAGUGGCGAAAGCGGCCUCCUGGACCACUUCUGACGCUCAGACGCGAAAGCUAAGGUAGCAAACGGGAUUAGAGACCCCGGUAGUCUUAGCUGUAAACGAUGUGAACUUGGCGUCGGUGGGUUUAAAUCCAUCGGUGCCGAAGCAAACGCGAUAAGUUCACCGCCUGGGGACUACGGCCGCAAGGUUAAAACUCAAAGGAAUUGACGG
Molecule: ribosomal RNA, 890 nt
Filed under: uncultured bacterium
Lineage: Bacteria
Description: bacterial SSU rRNA
Rfam family: Bacterial small subunit ribosomal RNA
Source: RNAcentral